Molecule: long non-coding RNA, 1742 nt
Organism: Ictalurus punctatus (channel catfish)
Lineage: Eukaryota; Metazoa; Chordata; Actinopteri; Siluriformes; Ictaluridae
Exons: 3
Source: RefSeq, a predicted model, not a curated record
UAAAAUUGUGUGUGGAGGGUCUGCAGACCUCGUUGAUGAGAAAGAUCAGAGGAGAAUGACCAGAUUGGUCUGAGCUGACAGGAAGUCUAUAGUAACUCAAAUAAUCACUCUUCACAACCGUAGUGAGCAGAAAAGCAUUUAAGAAUACAUAACACAUCAAACCUUGAGGUGGAUGAGUUACAGCGGGAGAAGACCGCAUCGGGUUCCAUUGCGGUAAGCCAAAAACAGGAAUCUGAAGCUUUCACGGGCACAGACUCGCCCAAACCAGACAGUUUAAGAUUUUUUUUAAAGAUUUUUUUUUUCCUAACAGGAACAUAAAACAUCUGAAUGGGACGAAAAAGAGAAUCUGUAAGUUUUUGAAAUGAUAUUUGAGAGGAGGAAAGUACAGUUACUCAAAAUGUACAAAAGUAUUGAAUCACAGCCAUGCUAAGAAGAAAUGUGAAUAUCAUUCUGAAAUUGUCACUUUGGGUAUUACUUAAUGCCAGAUUAAAUAAUUUAAUUCCACCUGGUGCCCUGAGCCCUACAGUCUUAUUCCUGAAUUUGAUCAUGUUGACAUAGUUGAACCUCACCUAAGUUGAACAUGCAUAGAGGUAAAAAAUGCAUUCAUUUACCAAUCCAUACAGUUUGAUAUUAUCUACUUCUGGUUUAACAAGAGGCCAAAUCUAGUGACAAGGCCAGGCAGGGUCAAAAUACCGAAAAUAAGAAGUGCAAACAAAUCCAAAGGCUAAGCAAAUGUAUCAACACCCAAAAAACCAAAGUUCAAAUGCUGUCUGCAUGUGAAGACAUUCACAAUUCGGAGGAAGGUGCCCUCUGGCAAAUGUCUGGGUUUGAUGUUACAGCUGGUCCGUGCAGCCAUUUAUGAUUAUAUUGUUCUCCAGAACAAGAACAAUUUUAGAAUUGUAACCUGCAGAUGAACUGGUUAGAUUUUGGAAUUGAUCCAAAUGGGGUCAUAGUCAAAUGUCUGAAGUCUUUCUGCUUGAAGUAUAUUUUAAUGGUAUUUUGAGGCGUACAAAUUACUCCCAACAAGAACUAGAAUUGAUGGAAGAUGAAUCCCCGUCAAUGCCUUUGGCAUCAAGUUCAACUUAUGUUUUGCGGCUAGUAAUCCAUGGGUCCUAGAUGGAUUUUCGAAGACCCAAGAUAAUGACCUCAAACAUACAAUUAAACAAUUAAAUGGUUGCAAUCAGUGUUUUGUUAUGUCCAUCUGCAAUGGCAUGUGCUAUUUAUUUUGCAUAUAUUCAUUAGUGCUCAUUAAUGUUAAGACCCAUAAAUAUAUUCUAUACCUUUAUGGACUGCGCUAGUGUUCAAUUGCCUCUGUUGUUUAGGACAAGGGACAAUCUGAGGAAGGAUUUUGUCUCUUACAAGCUGUUGUUGAAGUCUCUACCCCGGGUGAAGGCUUUACUCUUGGGCCCAGUGGGUUUUGGGAAGUCCAGCUUCAUCAACUCUCUCAGAUCCACAAUGUACAAGCGCAUCGUACAUCUGCCCAACAUCGGCACAGCAGUGGAUGGGUUCACCCAGAAGAUGACAACUUACAGUAUUCGAGUAAAUCAAGGAGGGUUUGAAAGUGCUCUGAGCCUUUGUGACGUGAAGGCUAUAGGAGACGACGACUCUACUGGUCUCUCUUACUCUGAUGUCAUAAAAGGCCACAUUCCAGAAGGAUACAAGAUACCACUGAUAUCCCUCAAACCUGAACAGAGAAAAAGCACCUACAGAUUAAUAUCAUCAGCAUUUCCGGUGCCUCUGAG